Molecule: ribosomal RNA, 112 nt
Filed under: uncultured eukaryote
Lineage: Eukaryota
Description: partial small subunit ribosomal RNA
Rfam family: Bacterial small subunit ribosomal RNA
Source: RNAcentral
UUUACCCGAAGGUGGUGCGCUAACCAGCAAUGGAGGCAGCCAACCACGGUAGGGUCAGCGACUGGGGUGAAGUCGUAACAAGGUCUUUGUAGGUGAACCUGCAGAAGGAUCA